GCAGUCGAACGGCAGCACAGUAAGAGCUUGCUCUUAUGGGUGGCGAGUGGCGGACGGGUGAGGAAUACAUCGGAAUCUACCUUUUCGUGGGGGAUAACGUAGGGAAACUUACGCUAAUACCGCAUACGACCUUCGGGUGAAAGCAGGGGACCUUCGGGCCUUGCGCGGAUAGAUGAGCCGAUGUCGGAUUAUCUAGGUGGCGGGGUAAAGGCCCACCAAGGCGACGAUCCGUAUCUGGUCUGAGAGGAUGAUCACCCACACUGGAACUGACACACGGUCCAGACUCCUACGGGAGGCAGCAGUGGGGAAUAUUGGACAAUGGGCGCAAGCCUGAUCCACCCAUACCGCGUGGGUGAAGAAGGCCUUCGGUUUGUAAAGCCCUUUUGUUGGAAAAGAAAAGCAAUCGGCUAAUACCCGGGUGUUCUGACGGUACCCAAAGAAUAAGCACCGGCUAACUUCGUGCCAGCAGCCGCGGUAAUACGAAGGGUGCAAGCGUUACUCGGAAUUACUGGGCGUAAAGCGUGCGUAGGUGGUUGUUUAACUCUGUUGUGAAAGCCCUGGGCUCAACCUGGGAAUUGCAGUGGAUACUGGGCGACUAGAGUGUGGUAGAGGGUAGUGGAAUUCCCGGUGUAGCAGUGAAAUGCGUAGAGAUCGAGAGGAACAUCCGUGGCGAACGCAGCUACCUGGACCAACACUGACAC
Molecule: ribosomal RNA, 701 nt
Filed under: Stenotrophomonas sp. Aksu26
Lineage: Bacteria; Pseudomonadati; Pseudomonadota; Gammaproteobacteria; Lysobacterales; Lysobacteraceae
Description: bacterial SSU rRNA
Rfam family: Bacterial small subunit ribosomal RNA
Source: RNAcentral